This 811-nucleotide small RNA is filed under the name Pan troglodytes (chimpanzee). Its description in RNAcentral is "retained intron". The record is from RNAcentral. Lineage: Eukaryota; Metazoa; Chordata; Mammalia; Primates; Hominidae.
UGUUGGUCUUGCCCACAAGGGCGGGUCCUUUUGACCAUCUGUCCAUUCUCGUGCUUCCUGUGCCUGGACCCGCCAGGUGCUCAGCAGGUGUCUGUGGAGUGGGCUCUUUGUAUCCUGGAGGUACGAAGAAGGGGUCCUCCCUGAAGUCACAUGCACGGCCCAGCCUCAGGGAAAACGCACACUUCAGGGUGGGCAGCCACCCUUCCCCUGGCCUGGUGCUCCUAACACCCCGUCCACAUCCACAGAGGUGCCCUUGGUGGGUGGAGUGUGUCGGGUGGAGGGCUGGCUUCCUGCUUCCCCUCAGAGCUUCUCCUCGGGCUUUGCUAGAAUGUCAGGGAUAAGGGGGCCUGUACCCCCGGGCUCCUCAGAUGUGGGCCAGAAGCCUUCCCCAGGGGCUUUAGGGCCUCAGGCUGACCUUGUCCCUGGUUUUUCCAGCGAGGAGCCGCCCCUGGAUCUGACAGGCAAGGUGUACCAGCUGGAGGUGAUGCUGAAACAGCUGCACACUGACCUGCAGAAGGAGAAGCAGGACAAGGUGGUGCUCCAGUCAGAGGUGGCCAGCCUGCGGCAGAACAACCAGCGGCUGCAGGAGGAGUCGCAGGCCGCCAGUGAGCAGCUGCGCAAGUUUGCAGAGAUCUUCUGCAGGGAGAAGAAGGAGCUCUGAGGUGGGAGGCCGCCGCCCGCCUUCGCUCCUUCCCCUCAGGCCGUGGCCCUGCUGCCUCUCUCCCUCCACUCAGCUCCCAGCUGCCGGUGUGACCAAGAUGACCCAUCCAGGGCCCUCCCCAUGGACACGGAAACUCCGACGGCCUCACUA